GGCGGGCUGCGUGGUGCGUUGGAUAUACUAAUCCCCGGGGCCUUAGCGAUCCAGAAGGGAGCUGUCCCUGUGUGUGCCCGUGGGCAUGCGCAAAACGGCGCCCACCUACUUAGUAGGUUCCCGGGAUCGUAAACAUCUGACGGCCAAGGUGGCUCGCCG
RNAcentral lists this non-coding RNA (159 nucleotides) under Nitratireductor sp. RNAcentral describes it as "6S RNA". It matches the Rfam family "6S / SsrS RNA". From Rfam's summary of the family: E. coli 6S RNA was the first non coding RNA to be sequenced, but its function was unknown until recently. It consists of 184 nucleotides that fold into an extended hairpin structure with a large single-stranded internal bulge. The 6S RNA specifically associates with RNA polymerase holoenzyme containing the sigma70 specificity factor. The record is from RNAcentral. Lineage: Bacteria; Pseudomonadati; Pseudomonadota; Alphaproteobacteria; Hyphomicrobiales; Phyllobacteriaceae.